RNAcentral lists this ribosomal RNA (253 nucleotides) under uncultured bacterium. RNAcentral describes it as "partial 16S ribosomal RNA". It matches the Rfam family "Bacterial small subunit ribosomal RNA", at positions 524 to 776 of the family's 1533-position model. The record is from RNAcentral.
UACGUAGGGUGCUAGCGUUGUCCGGAAUUAUUGGGCGUAAAGCGCACGUAGGCGGUCUUUUAAGUCGGGGGUGAAAUCCUGGAGCUCAACUCCAGAACUGCCUUCGAUACUGGAAGACUCGAGUCCGGGAGAGGUGAGUGGAACUGCGAGUGUAGAGGUGAAAUUCGUAGAUAUUCGCAAGAACACCAGUGGCGAAGGCGGCUCACUGGCCCGGUACUGACGCUGAGGUGCGAAAGCGUGGGGAGCAAACAGG